Molecule: transfer RNA, 72 nt
Filed under: Pangasianodon hypophthalmus (striped catfish)
Lineage: Eukaryota; Metazoa; Chordata; Actinopteri; Siluriformes; Pangasiidae
Description: tRNA-Glu
Source: RNAcentral
GCCCUGGAUGACUAGUGGUUAGGCCUUGGUGCUCUCACCACCGUGGCCCGGGUUCGAUUCUCGACCAAAGCC